ACAGAGGACCAAGAAGGCUGAGCCUGAUGAAGCAAUACUUUGCUGAUCCACUCCCAGGAAAAAAGGGUUGGAGAGACAAGCCCUAUUGGAGAGGGGAAGAAAGAAAAAAAUCACAGGGCUAACUGUAUCACCCAACAUUU
Non-coding RNA from Peromyscus californicus insignis, 140 nucleotides. RefSeq annotates it as small Cajal body-specific RNA 4. The record is from RefSeq and is a predicted model, not a curated record. The transcript has a single exon. Lineage: Eukaryota; Metazoa; Chordata; Mammalia; Rodentia; Cricetidae.